UACGUAGGGGGCUAGCGUUGUCCGGAAUCAUUGGGCGUAAAGCGCGUGUAGGCGGUUCGGUAAGUCCGCUGUGAAAGUCGGGGGCUCAACCCUCGAAUGCCGGUGGAUACUGUCGGGCUAGAGUGCGGAAGAGGCGAGUGGAAUUCCUGGUGUAGCGGUGAAAUGCGCAGAUAUCAAGAGGAACACCAGUGGCGAAGGCGAGUCCCUGGACAACACCUGACACUGAGGCACGAAAGCUAGGGGAGCAAACAGG
RNAcentral lists this ribosomal RNA (253 nucleotides) under uncultured bacterium. RNAcentral's name for it is "partial 16S ribosomal RNA". It matches the Rfam family "Bacterial small subunit ribosomal RNA", at positions 524 to 776 of the family's 1533-position model. The record is from RNAcentral.